GGGGAAUUCUGGCAGAGGGGAGAUUUUCGAGACAACACCUGUGCAGAAGCAAAGGCUACGUAUGUAUUACAGGCUAAUAUAGUUGUGUAUGGCAGUCCAGACGGCAGCAUCAAGCUUGGCUUUGUAUUUGUAUCCAUUCCAUGCAGUCACUAAAAGAGACAACCGGCAGAAUUGUGUCCAGAGACUUGUCUUCCACCUACACCUCACCAGAACACAACGCAGAAAGCUGCUUUAUUGGUAUGAAAAACAUUGUCUCACUUUUGCCAAAGCAACAAUGUGUACAAUAUACAUUGUAAUACAAUUAUAAAAAGAUAACAAAUAGUAAUAUAAAAUGGUGGCAAAUGAUAAUACAACAUGAAAUACAAAAAUAACAAGGUAAGUCAGUAGUAGAAAUAUAAUAAAUAAAAAUGGAAAAUGAAACUAAAACUAACUUAUAACUAAAUAACUAAUCUUCACCAUUACAUCAGUACUACAACCACCAUCAUCAUUACCAUCAUCAAAUCAAAAAUCAAAUUGAUUUAUAUAGCCCUCCAUACAUCAGCUGAUAUCUCAAAGUGCUGUACAGAAACCCAAGCUAAAACCCCAAACAGCAAGCAAUGCAGGUGUAGAAGCACGUUGGUAGGAAAAACUCCCUAGAAAGGCCAAAACCUAGGAAGAAACCUAGAGAGGAACCAGGCUAUGUGGGGUGGCCAGUCCUCUUCUGGCUGUGCCGGGUGGAGAUUAUAACAGAACAUGGCCAAGAUGUUCAAAUGUUCAUAAAUGACCAGCAUGGUCGUAUAAUAAUAAGGCGGAACAGUUGAAACUGGAGCAGCAGCACAGUCAGAUGGACUGGGGACAGCAAGGAGUCAUCAUGUCAGGUAGUCCUGGGGCAUGAUCCUAGGGCUCAGGUCCUCCGAGAGAGAGAAAGAAAGAGAGAAUUAGAGAGAGCAUAUGUGGGGUGGCCAGUCCUCUUCUGGCUGUGCCGGGUGGAGAUUAACAGAACAUGGCCAAGAUGUUCAAAUGUUCAUAAAUGACCAGCAUGGUCGAAUAAUAUUAAGGCAGAACAGUUGAAACUGGAGCAGCAGCACGGCCAGGUGGACUGGGGACAGCAAGGAGUCAUCAUGUCAGGUAGUCCUGGGGCAUGGUCCUAGGGCUCAGGUCCUCUAAGAGAGAGAAAGAAAGAGAGAAGGAGAGAAUUAGAGAACGCACACUUAGAUUCACACAGGACACCGAAUAGGACAGGAGAGGUACUCCAGAUAUAACAAACUGACCCUAGCCCCCCAACACAAACUACUGCAGCAUAAAUACUGGAGGCUGAGACAGGAGGGGUCAGGAGACACUGUGGCCCCAUCCGAUGAUACCCCCGGACAGGGCCAAACAGGCAGAGUAUAGCCCACAAAGAUCUCCACUACGGCACAAGCCAAGAGGGGUUGUGCCUUCCUCUCCCUUUUACACUCUCGCUCCUAUUUUCUAUCUCCUUUUCUCUCUCCUUUUCUCUCUCCCUUCUCCCUCUCUCUCCCUUCUCCCUCUCUCUCCUUUUCUCUCUCCCUUCUCCCUCUCUCUCCUUUUCUCUCUCUCCUUCUCUCUCC
Long non-coding RNA from Oncorhynchus tshawytscha (Chinook salmon), 1568 nucleotides. The record is from Ensembl. Lineage: Eukaryota; Metazoa; Chordata; Actinopteri; Salmoniformes; Salmonidae.